RNAcentral lists this ribosomal RNA (426 nucleotides) under uncultured fungus. Its description in RNAcentral is "SSU rRNA". It matches the Rfam family "Eukaryotic small subunit ribosomal RNA", at positions 539 to 990 of the family's 1831-position model. Lineage: Eukaryota; Fungi. The record is from RNAcentral.
GGGCUUUUUUUGGCAAGUCUGGUGCCAGCAGCCGCGGUAAUUCCAGCUCUGAUAGUAUAUAUUAAAGUUGUUGCAGUUAAAAAGCUCGUAGUUGAAACUUGGGUGCGUAGGGGCGGUCUCUUUUAGAGUACUACCCUGAAACAUCUUUCUUUGGUGUAAACUCUUUAUUCACUUAAGGAGUGUAAACCAAACAUUUACUUUGAAAAAAUUAGAGUGUUCAAAGCAGGCCUUUGCUCGAAUAUAUUAGCAUGGAAUAAUAGAAUAGGACGUAUGGUUCUAUUUUGUUGGUUUCUAGGACCGUCGUAAUGAUUAAUAGGGACGGUCGGGGGCAUCAGUAUUCAGUUGUCAGAGGUGAAAUUCUUGGAUUUACUGAAGACUAACUACUGCGAAAGCAUUGCCAAGGACGUUCAUAAUCAGAACGAAUGG